UUUACCAACAGUGCAGCCAUAAAAAAGAGCAUCAACAUGAGAUAACUUAUCCACGUACACACCAACGCACAUCUUCGCUAGACAAGUCACAGAGAUGGCAUUUGGCUCUGCUUCCUCGGGGAAUUGUUCACAGCACAGAAUUAUCACACAGUUUAACACAGCUGGCAGUCUGGGCUCAAGAGGAAACAGAAAAAGAUUGGAGAGGAUAAACAGCAGUUGCUGACUAUUGAAAUAUCAAACUGAUUUGGGAGGCCGAGGUGGAUGGAUCAUCUGAGCUCAGGAGUUCAAGACCAGCCUGAUGAAUAUGGUGAAACCUCGUCUCUACUAAACAAAUACAAAAAUUACCCGGGCAUGGUGGCAUGCACCUGUAGUCCCAGCUACUCGGGAGGCUGAGACAAGAGAGUUGAUUGAACCCAGGAGGCGGAGGUUGCAGUGAGCUGAAAUUGCGCCACUGCUCUCUAGCCUGGGUGACAGAACGAGACUCCAUCUCAAAAAGAAAAAAAAAAAAAAGAAAAAGAAAAAAGAAAUACCAAACUGAGACUAGAAAUAAGCAAGAGAAGCAGCAUUACAACAGGUACAGAAGUUACCUUAUACUGAAA
This is a long non-coding RNA of Pan troglodytes (chimpanzee), 599 nucleotides long. RefSeq lists it as uncharacterized. The record is from RefSeq and is a predicted model, not a curated record. Lineage: Eukaryota; Metazoa; Chordata; Mammalia; Primates; Hominidae. The transcript is spliced from 3 exons.